UCCCCGUCAAUUCAUUUGAGUUUUAGCCUUGCGGCCGUACUCCCCAGGCGGGGCGCUUAAUGCGUUAGCUGCGGCACGGAACCCGUGGAAGGGAUCCCACACCUAGCGCCCAACGUUUACGGCGUGGACUACCAGGGUAUCUAAUCCUGUUCGCUCCCCACGCUUUCGCUCCUCAGCGUCAGUAUCGGCCCAGAGACCCGCCUUCGCCACCGGUGUUCCUCCUGAUAUCUGCGCAUUUCACCGCUACACCAGGAAUUCCAGUCUCCCCUGCCGAACUCUAGUCUGCCCGUAUCGACUGCAAGCUCGGAGUUGAGCCCCGAGUUUUCACAGCCGACGCGACAGACCGCCUACGAGCUCUUUACGCCCAAUAAUUCCGGACAACGCCUGCACCCUACGUAUUACCGCGGCUGCUGGCACGUAGUUGGCCGGUGCUUCUUCUGCUCCUACCGUCACUCUCGCUUCGUCGGAGCUGAAAGAGGUUUACAACCCGAAGGCCGUCAUCCCUCACGCGGCGUCGCUGCGUCAGGCUUUCGCCCAUUGCGCAAGAUUCCCCACUGCUGCCUCCCGUAGGAGUCUGGGCCGUGUCUCAGUCCCAGUGUGGCCGGUCGCCCUCUCAGGCCGGCUACCCGUCGUCGCCUUGGUAGGCCAUCACCCCACCAACAAGCUGAUAGGCCGCGGGCCCAUCCCUAGCCGCACAAGGCUUUCCACCCCACGGCAUGCACCGUGAAGUCAUAUCCGGUAUUAGACCCAGUUUCCCAGGCUUAUCCCAGAGCUAAGGGCAGGUCACCCACGUGUUACUCACCCGUUCGCCGCUCGUGUACCCCCGAAAGGGCCUUACCGCUCGACUUGCAUGUGUUAAGCACGCCGCCAGCGUUCGUCCUGAGCCAUAAUCAAACUCU
Molecule: ribosomal RNA, 899 nt
Filed under: uncultured Actinomycetes bacterium
Lineage: Bacteria; Bacillati; Actinomycetota; Actinomycetes
Description: uncultured actinobacterium partial 16S ribosomal RNA
Source: RNAcentral